AUGGCAAGAGUUGGAGUUACAAAUAUGGAAAGUUACAUGCGGGGUGUUACAAACACGUCGGGUUGCAAGGUGUUGUUAUUUGUGUGCUGGUGCUGCUUACGUUGUGAUUGCUUGGUUCUCCUACUGGUUCGAUACCUUGGUUUCAUAACUGAGGGAAAUACUUACCGUUGUUGUGCUACAUCAUCCUCUCCUCUUGGGGGAAGUACCGACGUAGUCCUAGCGACACCAUCAAGUAGAAUUUCUGGCACCGUUGCCAGGGAGGAUCUUCAACAUAACCAGGUUCCUAAUCACAAAUCUCAUCUCCUCACAAUUUACAUUAUUUGA
Molecule: ribosomal RNA, 324 nt
Filed under: Triticum aestivum (bread wheat)
Lineage: Eukaryota; Viridiplantae; Streptophyta; Magnoliopsida; Poales; Poaceae
Description: partial small subunit ribosomal RNA
Source: RNAcentral